UGUCAGCAGCCGCGGUAAUACGGAGGAUGCAAGCGUUAUCCGGAUUCAUUGGGUUUAAAGGGUGCGCAGGCGGAGUGUUAAGUCAGUGGUGAAAGCCUACAGCUCAACUGUAGAACUGCCAUUGAUACUGACAUUCUUGAGUAUUGUUGAGGUAGGCGGAAUGUGUCAUGUAGCGGUGAAAUGCUUAGAUAUGACACAGAACACCGAUCGCGAAGGCAGCUUACCAAGCAAUAACUGACGCUCAUGCACGAAAGCGUGGGGAUCAAACAGGAUUAGAUACCCUGGUAGUCCACGCCGUAAACGAUGAUCACUCGAUGUUGGCGAUACACAGUCAGCGUCUUAGGGAAACUAUUAAGUGAUCCACCUGGGGAGUACGGUCGCAAGAUUGAAACUCAAAUGAAUUGACGG
Molecule: ribosomal RNA, 408 nt
Filed under: uncultured WCHB1 bacterium
Lineage: Bacteria
Description: bacterial SSU rRNA
Rfam family: Bacterial small subunit ribosomal RNA
Source: RNAcentral